RNAcentral lists this ribosomal RNA (112 nucleotides) under Bacillus thuringiensis serovar kurstaki. Its description in RNAcentral is "partial 16S ribosomal RNA". It matches the Rfam family "Bacterial small subunit ribosomal RNA", at positions 1425 to 1533 of the family's 1533-position model. RNAcentral also lists the same sequence under 3 other names. Lineage: Bacteria; Bacillati; Bacillota; Bacilli; Caryophanales; Bacillaceae. The record is from RNAcentral.
AGUCGGUGGGGUAACCUUUUUGGAGCCAGCCGCCUAAGGUGGGACAGAUGAUUGGGGUGAAGCCGUAACAAGGUAGCCGUAUCGGAAGGUGCGGCUGGAUCACCUCCUUUCU